CUCGGCCUCCCAAAGUGCUGGGAUUACAGGUGUGAGCCACCGCGCCCUGCUGAGAUCCUGCUAAUUUUAAAAUUCUUAUUCACAAACAAUAGCUACCAUUUAUUGAGUGUUUGUUUAAGGCACUGUGUUUAAGCGCUUCACUUCCAUGAUCCACUUUAAUCCUUAGUUAAUUUACAAUGCUUUCAGGAUAGUGUUUUCAUUUUGUAGUUGACGACAUUGAAAUUUAGAGAUUUUGAGGACAGAUCUGAUUCCAGAGUUUCUACUCUUAGCCACUGUGAGCUAUUGAUUCUAUGUAACUGCACACACUGAUUUCUGAGCACUUCUUGGGGCCUUUGGGCCAAGUCUUUCUGCUCUUUCUCUCUUAUCUGUCUCUUUCCGUCUUUGUCUCCCCACUCCUCUCUCUCUAUUUUUUUUUUCAGACAGAACCUCACUUUUUUGUUGUCAUUGUUAAGACAGAGUCCUGCUCUGUCGCCCAGGCUGGAAUGCAAUGAUACAAUCUCGGCUCACUGCAACUUCUGCCUCCAGGGUUCAAGCGAUUCUCCUGCCUCAGCCUCCCGAGUAGCUGGGACUACAGGUGUGCAUCAGCAUGCCCGGCUAAUUUUUGUAUUUUUAGUAGAGAUGGAGUUUCAACCAUGUUGGCCAGGCUGGUCUUGAACUCCUAGCUUCAGGUGAUCUGCCUGCCCAAGCCUCCCAAAGUUCAGGGAUUACAGGUGUGAAGCACCAUGCCCGGCGAGAACCUCACUUUGGAAUAGAGACCCCACAGAACCUCAGAGCUGGGAAAAUUUCCUUCCCAUCAAGCACCAAUUUUCCCUUGCCAUGGAGCACCACUGCUGGCUGAGUACUUUGAACUGAUGGAGUUUGGAUGACCUCAGAAGCAGCCUCAGAAGCAAGUUCUCUCUGACCUUCUCCUGCCCUCCUGCACCCCUUGUGCACCUCUUCUCCCAUGAGGAGCUGGCCGUAAAGAAAUUCUCUGACCAACUUUGUCUGAGAGUAGGUCCUAAGACCCUCAUUCCAGAGGGGUCGUGCCCCAUACCUAGAAAGAAGAAAUGCUGUGCAGAGAGGCCAAGAAGAAUCUGAACAGACAGGCCCUGCUGGGUCCCCAUCCCAUCACCUCGGUCCAUUACAGUUAAUCAGAACUUUCUGUCCAAUCGCAUUUCUAUACCACUGUCCAUUCCUCAUUGAGUCUAAGCAUAAAAAUGGACAGUUCUUCCUGAGCCUUUCGGUAUUCAUUUCUGAAGACUCACAUGUCACAUUAAACUUUGAUGAAAU
RNAcentral lists this long non-coding RNA (1269 nucleotides) under Homo sapiens (human). Its description in RNAcentral is "HSALNT0385667". The record is from RNAcentral. Lineage: Eukaryota; Metazoa; Chordata; Mammalia; Primates; Hominidae.